RNAcentral lists this ribosomal RNA (734 nucleotides) under uncultured Mycobacterium sp. Its description in RNAcentral is "bacterial SSU rRNA". It matches the Rfam family "Bacterial small subunit ribosomal RNA", at positions 281 to 1027 of the family's 1533-position model. Lineage: Bacteria; Bacillati; Actinomycetota; Actinomycetes; Mycobacteriales; Mycobacteriaceae. The record is from RNAcentral.
GGGUAGCCGGCCUGAGAGGGUGGCCGGCCACACUGGGACUGAGAUACGGCCCAGACUCCUACGGGAGGCAGCAGUGGGGAAUAUUGCACAAUGGGCGCAAGCCUGAUGCAGCGACGCCGCGUGAGGGAUGACGGCCUUCGGGUUGUAAACCUCUUUCAGCACAGACGAAGCGCAAGUGACGGUAUGUGCAGAAGAAGGACCGGCCAACUACGUGCCAGCAGCCGCGGUAAUACGUAGGGUCCGAGCGUUGUCCGGAAUUACUGGGCGUAAAGAGCUCGUAGGUGGUUUGUCGCGUUGUUCGUGAAAACUCACAGCUUAACUGUGGGCGUGCGGGCGAUACGGGCAGACUGGAGUACUGCAGGGGAGACUGGAAUUCCUGGUGUAGCGGUGGAAUGCGCAGAUAUCAGGAGGAACACCGGUGGCGAAGGCGGGUCUCUGGGCAGUAACUGACGCUGAGGAGCGAAAGCGUGGGGAGCGAACAGGAUUAGAUACCCUGGUAGUCCACGCCGUAAACGGUGGGUACUAGGUGUGGGUUUCCUUCCUUGGGAUCCGUGCCGUAGCUAACGCAUUAAGUACCCCGCCUGGGGAGUACGGCCGCAAGGCUAAAACUCAAAGGAAUUGACGGGGGCCCGCACAAGCGGCGGAGCAUGUGGAUUAAUUCGAUGCAACGCGAAGAACCUUACCUGGGUUUGACAUGCACAGGACGCCGGCAGAGAUGUCGGUUCCCUUGUGGC